UAGGGAAUCUUCCACAAUGGCGAAAGUACUGAUGGAGCAACGCCGCGUGAGUGAAGAAGGGUUUCGGCUCGUAAAACUCUGUUGUUAAAGAAGAACAUAUCUGAGAGUAACUGUUCAGGUAUUGACGGUAUUUAACCAGAAAGCCACGGCUAACUACGUGCCAC
RNAcentral lists this ribosomal RNA (164 nucleotides) under uncultured bacterium. RNAcentral describes it as "partial 16S rRNA". It matches the Rfam family "Bacterial small subunit ribosomal RNA", at positions 355 to 511 of the family's 1533-position model. The record is from RNAcentral.